Molecule: RNase P RNA, 267 nt
Filed under: Spirochaetia bacterium
Lineage: Bacteria; Pseudomonadati; Spirochaetota; Spirochaetia
Description: partial RNase P RNA component class A
Rfam family: Bacterial RNase P class A
About the family: Ribonuclease P (RNase P) is a ubiquitous endoribonuclease, found in archaea, bacteria and eukarya as well as chloroplasts and mitochondria.
Source: RNAcentral
CUGGAAGCGCAGGUUUCUGCGCGAUAGAAAGUGCCACAGAAAAGAUACAGCCUGUCUUUCAGACAGGUGAUGGUGAAAAGGCGGGGUAAGAGCCCACCGGGCAUCUGGCAACAGAUGCCGCAUGGCAAACCUCAUCAGGAGCAAAGCCAAAAAAGCAGAGAGCUGCUCGCUCUUAUCUGCGGGUAGGCUGCUAUAGGAAUCUGGCGACAGAUUUCAUAGACAGAUGGUAACACAAGACAGAACUCGGCUUAUAGACCUGCUUUAUUA